UGACGAGUCCCAAAUAGGACGAAACGCGCGUC
Non-coding RNA from Schistosoma rodhaini, 32 nucleotides. Lineage: Eukaryota; Metazoa; Platyhelminthes; Trematoda; Strigeidida; Schistosomatidae. The record is from Rfam.